This 197-nucleotide ribosomal RNA is filed under the name Klebsiella quasipneumoniae. RNAcentral describes it as "16S rRNA. Bacterial SSU". It matches the Rfam family "Bacterial small subunit ribosomal RNA", at positions 1 to 205 of the family's 1533-position model. Lineage: Bacteria; Pseudomonadati; Pseudomonadota; Gammaproteobacteria; Enterobacterales; Enterobacteriaceae. The record is from RNAcentral.
UUAAAUUGAAGAGUUUGAUCAUGGCUCAGAUUGAACGCUGGCGGCAGGCCUAACACAUGCAAGUCGAGCGGUAGCACAGAGAGCUUGCUCUCGGGUGACGAGCGGCGGACGGGUGAGUAAUGUCUGGGAAACUGCCUGAUGGAGGGGGAUAACUACUGGAAACGGUAGCUAAUACCGCAUAACGUCGCAAGACCAAA